GGGCACAUGGUGUAGUUGGUUAUCACGCUCGCUUAGCAUAUGGUAUGGUUUGCGAGAGGUGUUGGGUUCAAUUCCCAAUGCGUCCA
Molecule: transfer RNA, 86 nt
Filed under: Pholiota conissans
Lineage: Eukaryota; Fungi; Basidiomycota; Agaricomycetes; Agaricales; Strophariaceae
Description: tRNA-Ala
Rfam family: tRNA
About the family: Transfer RNA (tRNA) molecules are approximately 80 nucleotides in length. Their secondary structure includes four short double-helical elements and three loops (D, anti-codon, and T loops).
Source: RNAcentral